GAGACAGCAGCCGCCACGGUAAUACAGAGGAUGCAAGCGUUAUCCGGAAUGAUUGGGCGUAAAGCGUCUGUAGGUGGCUUUUCAAGUCCGCCGUCAAAUCCCAGGGCUCAACCUGGGGGCUGCAUUUGAUACUGUUUGGCUUGAGUUCGGGAGAGGUGAGUGGAAUCCCCAGUGUAGAGGUGAAAUUCGUAGAUAUUGGGAAGAACACCAGUGGCGAAGGCGGCUCACUGGACCGACACUGACGCUGAGGCGCGAAAGCGUGGGGAGCAAACAGGAUUAGAUACCCGCGUAGUCCCUGUCUCUUAUAC
RNAcentral lists this ribosomal RNA (308 nucleotides) under uncultured bacterium. RNAcentral describes it as "partial 16S ribosomal RNA". It matches the Rfam family "Bacterial small subunit ribosomal RNA", at positions 505 to 807 of the family's 1533-position model. The record is from RNAcentral.